Molecule: ribosomal RNA, 555 nt
Filed under: uncultured bacterium
Lineage: Bacteria
Description: bacterial SSU rRNA
Rfam family: Bacterial small subunit ribosomal RNA
Source: RNAcentral
AAUAGAUACCCAGGUAGUCCACCCCGUAAACGUUGGGAACUAGUUGUGGGGACCAUUCCACGGUUUCCGUGACGCAGCUAACGCAUUAAGUUCCCCGCCUGGGGAGUACGGCCGCAAGGCUAAAACUCAAAGGAAUUGACGGGGACCCGCACAAGCGGCGGAGCAUGCGGAUUAAUUCGAUGCAACGCGAAGAACCUUACCAAGGCUUGACAUAUACGAGAACGGGCCAGAAAUGGUCAACUCUUUGGACACUCGUAAACAGGUGGUGCAUGGUUGUCGUCAGCUCGUGUCGUGAGAUGUUGGGUUAAGUCCCGGCAACGAGCGCAACCCUCGUUCUAUGUUGCCAGCACGUAAUGGUGGGAACUCAUGGGAUACUGCCGGGGUCAACUCGGAGGAAGGUGGGGAUGACGUCAAAUCAUCAUGCCCCCUUAUGUCUUGGGGCUUCACGCAUGCUACAAUGGCCGGUACAAAGGGCUGCAAUACCGUAAGGUGGAGCGAAUCCCGAAAAACGCGGUCCCAGUUCGGAUUGAGGUCUGCAACUCGACCUCAUGGAAC